CGUGUAGGUGGUUUCGUAAGUCUGGCGUGAAAUAUCUCGGCUUAACCGAGGCAGGUCGUCGGAUACUGCGAGACUAGAGGACGGUAGAGGCGUGUGGAAUUCCGGGUGUAGUGGUGGAAUGCGUAGAGAUCCGGAGGAACACCAGUGGCGAAGGCGACACGCUGGGCCGUACCUGACACUGAGGCGCGAUAGCAUGGGGAGGCAAACA
Molecule: ribosomal RNA, 208 nt
Filed under: uncultured bacterium
Lineage: Bacteria
Description: partial 16S ribosomal RNA
Rfam family: Bacterial small subunit ribosomal RNA
Source: RNAcentral